RNAcentral lists this unclassified non-coding RNA (280 nucleotides) under Hevea brasiliensis (rubber tree). The record is from RNAcentral. Lineage: Eukaryota; Viridiplantae; Streptophyta; Magnoliopsida; Malpighiales; Euphorbiaceae.
CGACCGCAUUCAAGAUAGAAGCAAUAGCAAGAAAUAAACCCAAAUUUAAUUGCGACUGAACUCAAAUUUGUCCUCUGUAUACUCGCAUCAGAAUUCAAGUUCGCAACCAGAAAAAAAAAUCGAAAUAACAAUUCACACACUAGUCAAUGCCCAAAACAACCCGUAACUCAGAUACCAAGCAUUAUGAAAUUCAAAUCAAUCCCAAUAACUUUUGAAACUGUCAACAACCGCUGUAUCAAAUGAAAGAACCAAAACCUUGGACACGUGUAAAUUCACUAAC